CCUACGGGAGGCUGCAGUGAGGAAUAUUGGUCAAUGGACGCAAGUCUGAACCAGCCAAGCCGCGUGCAGGAAGACGGCUCUAUGAGUUGUAAACUGCUUUUGUACGAGGGUAAACGCAGAUACGCGUAUCUGUCUGAAAGUAUCGUACGAAUAAGGAUCGGCUAACUCCGUGCCCGCAGCCGCGGUAAUACGGAGGAUUCAAGCGUUAUCCGGAUUUAUUGGGUUUAAAGGGUGCGUAGGCGGUCGGAUAAGUUAGUGGUGAAAUCCCGAGGCUCAACUUCGGAAUUGCCUUUGAUACUGGCAGGCUAGAGAGUAGUUGAGGUAGGCGGAAUGUAUGGUGUAGCGGUGAAAUGCUUAGAUAUCAUACAGAACACCGAUUGCGAAGGCAGCUUACCAAGCUACUUCUGACGUUGAGGCACGAAAGUGUGGGGAGCAAACAGGAUUAGAUACCCGAGUAGUC
RNAcentral lists this ribosomal RNA (460 nucleotides) under uncultured bacterium. RNAcentral's name for it is "partial 16S ribosomal RNA". It matches the Rfam family "Bacterial small subunit ribosomal RNA", at positions 338 to 795 of the family's 1533-position model. The record is from RNAcentral.